GUUCCCGUAGUCCAGUGGCAAAGGAUAGAAGCCUCUCGAACUUUCUGUCACAGGUUCAAAUCCCGUCGGGAGCG
Molecule: transfer RNA, 74 nt
Filed under: Euryarchaeota archaeon RBG_19FT_COMBO_69_17
Lineage: Archaea; Methanobacteriati; Methanobacteriota
Description: tRNA-Glu
Rfam family: tRNA
About the family: Transfer RNA (tRNA) molecules are approximately 80 nucleotides in length.
Source: RNAcentral